CAGCACCUCAAGUGGUCAGGAUGAUUAUUGGGCCUAAAGCAUCCGUAGCCGGCGCUGUAAGUUUUCGGUUAAAUCUGUACGCUCAACGUACAGGCUGCUGGGAAUACUGCAGCGCUAGGGAGUGGGAGAGGUAGACGGUACUCGGUAGGAAGGGGUAAAAUCCUUUGAUCUAUUGAUGACCACCUGUGACGAAGGCGGUCUACCAGAACACGUCCGACGGUGAGGGAUGAAAGCUGGGGGAGCAAACCGGAUUAGAUACCCGAGUAGUCC
Molecule: ribosomal RNA, 270 nt
Filed under: uncultured archaeon
Lineage: Archaea
Description: partial 16S ribosomal RNA
Rfam family: Archaeal small subunit ribosomal RNA
Source: RNAcentral